Molecule: long non-coding RNA, 213 nt
Filed under: Homo sapiens (human)
Lineage: Eukaryota; Metazoa; Chordata; Mammalia; Primates; Hominidae
Description: non-protein coding lnc-PARM1-5:1
Source: RNAcentral
GGAGUGUUGACAUUAAGGGAUGUGGCCAUAGAAUUCUCCCCAGAAGAGCAGGACUGUCUGGACUCUGCUUAGCAGCAUCUGUAUAGGGAUGUGAUGUUAGAGAACUACAGAAAACUUGUCUGCCAGGGUCUUGCUACCUCUAAGCUAGACUUUAUUACCUGUCUGGAGCAAAGAAAAGAGCCCUGAAAUUUGAAGCGACAGGAGACAGCAGCA